AUGAGUUGGAACAUCAGAGGCUUAAACACACCGGCGCGGCGCGCUGUAGUUAGCGAGGCGGCAGAGGCACAUAAGCUGGCAAUCCUCUGCCUCCAGGAGACCAAGAUCGAGGUAUGGAGCAGCCCUCUGGUCAGAGAGGUAUGCAGAGCGAGGCUCGCCGACUGUGUGGUGCUUCCCGCCUCCGGCACCAGGGGCGCCGUGAUUUUCUGGGACAGUAGUGUAGUAGACGUGCAAUCACACACUGUCGGGCAAUUCUCCAUCACCGUCCGCGUUACCAUAAUGGCAACAUCAACACCCUACUGGCUAACCACGGUGUACGGCCCUGUCGACGACAGUAGAAAAGACGAGUUCUUGUCAGAAUUAGUUAGGGCGGCGCCACCAACAAACGAUCCCUGGCUCAUCAACAGUGAUUUUAACCUCAUAUACAAAGCCAGCAACAAAAACAAUAGCAACAUCAAUCGUAGAAUGAUGGGAAAAUUCCAGGCGGCGAUCGACGCCGCAGGUCUCCGGGAGAUCAGAUAA
This 522-nucleotide ribosomal RNA is filed under the name Triticum aestivum (bread wheat). RNAcentral's name for it is "partial small subunit ribosomal RNA". The record is from RNAcentral. Lineage: Eukaryota; Viridiplantae; Streptophyta; Magnoliopsida; Poales; Poaceae.